CGUGCAAUCAUUUGGCACGCGGGGCUUCAGGUGUGAGCGCCCUAACAGGCAACGGAAAAAGAGGCGUCGCUUUCAGUUACGUUAUGUAGCCAACUAGUUUUCAGGUAAAUAUUUAAAAAUGUGAACGUUGAACGUUAUUUAAAAUAACGCUCAGAUACUAUAAUUGAAACUUAAAACGUUGUGGACUAAUAGAAGUCUGUAAACCGUAUUUUAAUAACCGUCCUUGUUGGAAUGUCGUUUUAACGGUGACCUAGAAAUCGCGUCGUCCAGGAAGUCGUUCAUAAUGAGAAGUACUUAAUGCUAAGUGGCGCACUGGAUUGCGUGAAAAGCAUUAUUCUCAGAGGGUGAGUAUUUUUGGUCCCAGAAUAAUUCAUAAUCUUUAUUGAUGCAAUGGCAACUGCCAGAAAAGAAACAAUGACCUGUUAAGAACACAGACAAUCAUUCAAAUGUUCAACGCAUAAGCAAAACACUUGUUUUUCCAUAUAGGUUUCUAUGUAGUUCUAAAUGAUUCCCAUGCCAGUGUGUGUGCGUCUGUUUGUGUGUGUGUGUGUAACUUUUUAAAUGUUUUUAAUUCAAUGGCACAAAUACAAAUGUUUACUCCAGUGCAUCAGGAACAAUGCUAUUUUUUUUCUUAAAUACUCUUUUUAAAAUAAUGUUAUUUUCAGCAGAAGAGCGGCCGCCCUGCAUGUCAGACGGCGGCCAUCGCCCGUCGCUCUCGUUACGCUGGCCGUAGAAGCCGUCGCUCUCCGUCACGUCCCCGCUCAGUCCUUCUGCGUCUCGUGGAUCUUCUCCGCUAUUUUCUGAAGCUCCACGUCCAUGGCUGCCAGGUUCUCCAGCUCCUUCUCCUGCAGAGAAAACGGGGGGUGGGGAAAGAGUCGCUGUCAUUUCGUCCGGCGGUCCGAACAGGGUGAAGUAUCGCCUUGAAGCUGAAUCCGCCUCUAAUCGCGGCCCUUGUAGCGAGCGGCUCAUCCCAAGGUCCAAUGACCGGGAAACAGGGUUUCUAACUGCGUAACCCCCCAGAGGGAUGCUGGAGCACUUUUCUGCACACGCGUGCGGGUUUGGGCAUGUGCGCGGGAUGGCUUGGCAGGCUGGCGCGGACAGUGAGCUUGGCAGCAGCAGGCUGGCAGUUGGCGGUUGG
Anguilla rostrata (American eel) is the source of this 1138-nucleotide long non-coding RNA. RefSeq lists it as uncharacterized. NCBI's taxonomy places the organism in Eukaryota, Metazoa, Chordata, Actinopteri, Anguilliformes, Anguillidae. The record is from RefSeq and is a predicted model, not a curated record. The transcript has 3 exons.